UUGAAAAUACCAAUAAACGUAUAUAAAAGUGAAUUACACCUGACACAUUAUCAGUUCCUCGAUAUGUUGUUAUUGAAGAAAACACUAAUUUAUUGCAUUUUAUUUUUAAUCUAUUUAGUUUCUCCAAGUACGUAGUAAUUUCAUAUAGUUUUUUAAAUUAGAAUCGUUGUGAAUUCUGUUUGAUUAUGAUAAAUUUUAACUCUUUCAUAUUUUACAGGUACUGAAAAAGUAUGUGGAAAGGAAUAUGGUUGUAAUAUCUAUUGCAGUUAUUUCAAGGAUUAUUAUUCUUGUCCAUUAGUUAAACCACCAUGUCAUUGUUGGUAAUAGAUUAUUUUGUGUAUUAUAUUAAUCGAAGUACAUAAGUAAAUAAUUUUUUAUUUUUGUCUAA
Aethina tumida (small hive beetle) is the source of this 388-nucleotide long non-coding RNA. RefSeq lists it as uncharacterized. The record is from RefSeq and is a predicted model, not a curated record. The transcript is spliced from 2 exons. NCBI's taxonomy places the organism in Eukaryota, Metazoa, Arthropoda, Insecta, Coleoptera, Nitidulidae.